Non-coding RNA from Dipodomys ordii (Ord's kangaroo rat), 65 nucleotides. Lineage: Eukaryota; Metazoa; Chordata; Mammalia; Rodentia; Heteromyidae. The record is from Rfam.
GGUGGCUCAGUGGUAGAGUGCUUGCCUCGCAUGCACGAGGCCCUGGGUUCGAUUCCUCAGCACCA